AUGGAGCAACCUUUGCAAACCCUUCAAGUGGGGUUUCACAAGAACCAGGGCCGGUUCCUCCACCCUGCCGGGCACCGUGGUGGGAAAAAUCCCCCCGGUGCUCCCGCAGCAACCAUGGCACUGGGUGCCAGGGACCUUCCCCGUCGGAGCCGAAAGUCUGGUGUGGGACGGAGGAAGCCGGUGGUGCCUGCUGCCAAGCACGCGCUGAGGAAAUGGGGAAUUUUCCAGGCUUGGUUCCCAGCCACCAGGAGGAACCCCAUCACCCUGCACUGCUGGAUGAUCCCCGCGGCCCCGCUAGGUGCUGGGCAGGGGGCAGAAGAGGUUUCCGUGCCGUGUGCCCACCCAAACUGGGGUCAACCCAAUCUGGGGGUCACCCCAAUCCCCGUGGCAAACACAGCAGGAGGAAAACUACGCAGGCACGGAGGGAAGCAGGCCCAGCUCCUGCGAUUCUCUCUCCUCCUGAGAGGUUCUUAUAUCCUUGCAGCUAAUUGCGGGCUCCUGCCAGGAGUGCGACUUGCACGGACAAGCCUCGGAGGGAGGAAGACCUGGGCUGGGAAGCAGAUCCGUAGGAGGAAGCAGCAUUCUUUUCCCACGUCCAGGAGCAGCCAGUUGCCGUUUUUCCCACAUUGCUGUUUCACUCAAGACCCAGGACUGAGAUCAUCACCAAGUGAGAAUUUUUUGAUUUCCUACGCACGCAACGUGGCUCGAGGCUUCCUGAUUUUAAGUCCGAACCACUGCUCACAGCACAGAAAGCGUUCAAGCUGA
Molecule: long non-coding RNA, 765 nt
Filed under: Anas platyrhynchos platyrhynchos (common mallard)
Lineage: Eukaryota; Metazoa; Chordata; Aves; Anseriformes; Anatidae
Description: lncRNA (ENSAPLG00000028690.1)
Source: RNAcentral